CGCGUCCCCUCCCUCCCUCCCUCUCUCUCUCUCUCUCUCUCUGCCUGCCUAUAUAUAUAAAUACGUAUCCGCCUCCAUUGCCGUCACUCCUCGCGGCCUUCGCAGCUCCUCCCGCGCGACGUGUCGCCGAGUGCGGUGCGGUAGGGCGGCGACUGAGUGACACAGCAAGAGAGAGAGAGAGAGAGAGAGAGAGAGAAUGGAGGGAAGGAAGCAAGGCGGAUCGCCUCGUCCCUCUGCCGCCGCCUCCUCUUCCUCUCCCUCGUCUUCGCCGCCGCCGCCGCCAUCGCUUGCUUCGGAGCUGUUCGGCUCGAAGGAGACGUAUCCGCCUUCGUCCUCCGCGGGCAUAUUCGCCUCCAUCUUCGCGCCUCCCUCUAAGGUUCUUGGGAAGGAAUCCGUGCGCUACGAGAGCGAAAGGAAGCAGGAUUUCCAGAACGAGCUGUGGUGGAGCAAAUCCGGAACUCCAGAUGAUACAUCACAUGUUGGUGGAGGAGGUCACAGCAUGCUGAACAGAGAUAUGGGUACCAUUUAUCAAGAGCAGAGAGUACAGCCGUGCCACCUCAGUUCAUCUAUAUAUUAUGGUGGCCAAGAGAACUAUUGCCACCCUUCAAGUACUCAAGGAUCUGGAUUAAAUCCUGUGGUCAAGAAAGAUGCUGGAGAAGAUGACGGAAGUGCUUCUAGGGGAAAUUGGUGGCAAGGAUCUUUAUAUUACUGAGAGCUUACUUGUCAGGCGGAUCGUCGACAUGUAUUAAAGGGCUGCAUUACUAUAAAAGAACUCCAUAUUGCAAAUUAAUCGAGGUACAUAGCAAUACUAUAUUAGCAGUAUAGUCUUACUUGGUUCUCAUGGAUAUGGAGAUAAUGGUCAGGUUCUUGGUGUUUGUUCAGCCUCUCCAUGAAGUGGUCGUCUGAUACUACAGUUAGCGACUUCCAUAUCCCUUUUCUUGAGUAUGGAUUGCUUUCCUUUACUGUAAAAGAUGUUUGGAUGGCGACUUCUUUCACCACAACCUAUUAUUGUGGACUGAAGUUGCCUUAUAAUCUAGUGGGUGUUAUGUAUAAACUUCCAACGUUUCCUAGCUUAAUUUUCUAUUCACCAGCUGUAAAUGACCGCAUUAUACUAUAGCUUCGUCUCAUACUGUGAAUAUCUAUUGCAGUAGACGUUCUGAGA
Molecule: RNA transcript, 1162 nt
Organism: Syzygium oleosum
Lineage: Eukaryota; Viridiplantae; Streptophyta; Magnoliopsida; Myrtales; Myrtaceae
Exons: 7
Source: RefSeq, a predicted model, not a curated record